Long non-coding RNA from Bombyx mori (domestic silkworm), 437 nucleotides. RefSeq lists it as uncharacterized. NCBI's taxonomy places the organism in Eukaryota, Metazoa, Arthropoda, Insecta, Lepidoptera, Bombycidae. The transcript is spliced from 2 exons. The record is from RefSeq and is a predicted model, not a curated record.
CAUUUAGUUUUGUGCUAUCUAACUGAUCUGACGUAGCGUUUGAUAUAAUCAACGAUCGCAAGCAAUAAAAGAAAAAUACAAAUUUUGGAAAAUAGAGUAAUUCGCCCUGCAGUUAUUGACAGUGAUAGUGACAGCAGUGAAGAUAUAGUUUCCACUAAGAAAAAUAGAAAGAAGUUGGAAACAAAUGUGCACGGAAAACAAAGCACAAGCGAAAAUCAAGUAAAACCUAAAGAAAAUUACCAUGUCCUUGAGACAAGCGAUAAACGAAGAAAUUGUGCAGGGUGCUACGACAGACUGCGGAAAACCUUUAAUAGUACCCAAGCAAAAAAAGUUUAAGAAAAUAAAAAAAUAUUGCAGGAAAUGUAACCGAAACCUUUGCAUAACAUGUUUCCAAGACAGGCAUAAAUAAAUGAAAACAUUCUUCAGUUAUUUUACGA